GAGCUAGUGGCGGACGGGUGAGUAACGCGUGAGAAUCUGCCUUCAGGAGGGGGAUAACGACUGGAAACGGGCGCUAAUACCCCAUAUGCCUCCGGGUGAAAAGUAAUUCGCCUGAAGAUGAGCUCGCGUCAGAUUAGCUAGUUGGUGGGGUAAGAGCCUACCAAGGCGACGAUCUGUAGCUGGUCUGAGAGGAUGAUCAGCCACACUGGGACUGAGACACGGCCCAGACUCCUACGGGAGGCAGCAGUGGGGAAUUUUCCGCAAUGGGCGCAAGCCUGACGGAGCAAGACCGCGUGGGGGAUGACGGCCUAAUGGUUGUAAACCCCUUUUCUCUGGGAAGAAGACUGACGGUACCAGAGGAAUCAGCCUCGGCUAACUCCGUGCCAGCAGCCGCGGUAAUACGGAGGAGGCAAGCGUUAUCCGGAAUUAUUGGGCGUAAAGCGUCCGUAGGUGGUUAUUCAAGUCUGCUGUCAAAGCGUGGGGCUUAACUCCAUAGAGGCAGUGGAAACUGAGUGACUAGAGUGCGGUAGGGGUCGAGGGAAUUCCCAGUGUAGCGGUGAAAUGCGUAGAUGUUGGGAAGAACACCAGUGGCGAAAGCGCUCGACUGGGCCUGCACUGACACUGAGGGACGAAAGCUA
RNAcentral lists this ribosomal RNA (638 nucleotides) under uncultured organism. RNAcentral's name for it is "bacterial SSU rRNA". It matches the Rfam family "Bacterial small subunit ribosomal RNA", at positions 89 to 762 of the family's 1533-position model. The record is from RNAcentral.